This 122-nucleotide non-coding RNA is filed under the name Asticcacaulis sp. AC466. Its description in RNAcentral is "TPP riboswitch aptamer (THI element)". It matches the Rfam family "TPP riboswitch aptamer (THI element)". Rfam says of the family: Vitamin B(1) in its active form thiamin pyrophosphate (TPP) is an essential coenzyme that is synthesised by coupling of pyrimidine and thiazole moieties in bacteria. The previously detected thiamin-regulatory element, thi box was extended, resulting in a new, highly conserved RNA secondary structure, the THI element, which is widely distributed in eubacteria and also occurs in some archaea. Analysis of operon structures identified a large number of new candidate thiamin-regulated genes, mostly transporters, in various prokaryotic organisms. Lineage: Bacteria; Pseudomonadati; Pseudomonadota; Alphaproteobacteria; Caulobacterales; Caulobacteraceae. RNAcentral also lists the same sequence under 1 other name. The record is from Rfam by way of RNAcentral.
CGCAGUUCACCGGAGUGUCCGCAAGCCUAUGCGGGCUGAGACUGGAGGCUUGAAGCCGCCUCCUAAAACCGCCGAACCUGAUCCGGGUCAUGCCGGCGAAGGGAGAUGGAUACGCUAUGGCC